This 260-nucleotide long non-coding RNA is filed under the name Carica papaya (papaya). RNAcentral's name for it is "long non-coding RNA (CPAP_LNC016143)". Lineage: Eukaryota; Viridiplantae; Streptophyta; Magnoliopsida; Brassicales; Caricaceae. The record is from RNAcentral.
GUUGAAAACUUCCCCGGUGCAGCAGCGGGUGGCGGUGGUCGGCUCCUCCGGUGUCUGGUUCUUCUUCUCCAGCGAGGCACUAGCGGCUAGGGUUUUGUGGUCAGGUGUGGGUGGGGUUAUUUAUACCCUUUGCCUUUUAAUCUCAACCGUCCAUCAAGAUUAAAUCUGGACCGUCCGACGCGAUUUAAUUGAGAUUAAAUCUGGGCCGUCCAUCGCGAUGCAAUGUGGACCGUCCGUACACGUGAAUCUGGGCCGUCCGU